RNAcentral lists this ribosomal RNA (778 nucleotides) under uncultured bacterium. RNAcentral describes it as "bacterial SSU rRNA". It matches the Rfam family "Bacterial small subunit ribosomal RNA", at positions 59 to 834 of the family's 1533-position model. The record is from RNAcentral.
CAGUCGAACGGAACUGUUUUGAAAGAUUUCUUCGGAAUGAAUUUGAUUUAGUUUACUGGCGGACGGGUGAGUAACGCGUGAGUAACCUGCCUUCAAGACGGGAAUAACAUUCUGAAAAGAAUGCUAAUACCGCAUGACAUAUCGGAACCACAUGGUUUUGAUAUCAAAGAUUUUAUCGCUUGAAGAUGGACUCGCGUCCGAUUAGUUAGUUGGUGAGGUAACGGCUCACCAAGACCGCGAUCGGUAGCCGGACUAAGAGGUUGAACGGCCACAUUGGGACUGAGACACGGCCCAGACUCCUACGGGAGGCAGCAGUGGGGGAUAUUGCGCAAUGGGGGCAACCCUGACGCAGCAACGCCGCGUGAAGGAUGAAGGUUUUCGGAUUGUAAACUUCUUUUAUUAAGGACGAAAAAUGACGGUACUUAAUGAAUAAGCUCCGGCUAACUACGUGCCAGCAGCCGCGGUAAUACGUAGGGAGCAAGCGUUGUCCGGAUUUACUGGGUGUAAAGGGUGCGUAGGCGGCUUUGCAAGUCAGAUGUGAAAUCUAUGGGCUCAACCCAUAAACUGCAUUUGAAACUGUAGAGCUUGAGUGAAGUAGAGGCAGGCGGAAUUCCCCGUGUAGCGGUGAAAUGCGUAGAGAUGGGGAGGAACACCAGUGGCGAAGGCGGCCUGCUGGGCUUUAACUGACGCUGAGGCACGAAAGCGUGGGUAGCAAACAGGAUUAGAUACCCUGGUAGUCCACGCUGUAAACGAUGAUUACUAGGUGUGGGGGGUCUGA